Molecule: non-coding RNA, 105 nt
Organism: Acanthosepion pharaonis
Lineage: Eukaryota; Metazoa; Mollusca; Cephalopoda; Sepiida; Sepiidae
Source: the annotation of a GenBank genome assembly
UUACGGCCAUAUCAUGUUGAAACACCGGUUUCCGUACGAUCACUUAAGUAACGUCGAGCAUGACCAGUACCAAGAUGGGUGACCGCUUGGGAAUACCAGUUUCUG